RNAcentral lists this long non-coding RNA (810 nucleotides) under Eucalyptus grandis. RNAcentral's name for it is "long non-coding RNA (EGRA_LNC004843)". The record is from RNAcentral. Lineage: Eukaryota; Viridiplantae; Streptophyta; Magnoliopsida; Myrtales; Myrtaceae.
CAAAAGCUCUAUUAUAUAUCCGUUCCCUUCCUUUCAAUUAAAUCCUCAAACCAUAUUAAAAACUUCAUAAUAGUUAUAGAACUACACAAUGAUCACACAAGACACGAUAGUCUCCCUUUCUACAUUCAAUCUUUGUGAAUAAUUUGAAUGACACAUGUUGAUGUGAGUCGGUCCAAUUUGACACGAACACAUUCCAUAAAACAAGUUAAACAACACUGGCCUUGCUCGCUAGCAAAAGACUAUUAUUCUAUAUUCAACCUUAAGGCCCAAUGGAUGACCAGGACCUUCACUUUUGAUAUUGCAAAAGAUACAAAUUAAAAACCAAAUAAUGAAAGGGGCCAUGAAAUAUUCUUAGUUUUUACUAGCAAUCAAAGUUUGGUCAUCACUAGUUCGUGCCGGUGACGUGCUUGUGUCCUUCACCAGGGGAGGGGGGGCUCGGGCCUGAGUCCUCAAUCCCUCCAAGUGUCUCUGAGUUGGUGAACUUGUGUCCCUCGCUUGGGCUCGGCCCAGCUUGCUUGAUGGCCCCAAGCGACAACCCGUCGAAGAACCCUCCGCAGGCAACUCCCACUGGAGCUUUCGGCUCCAUCACAUUGAAGGGUCGAGCUCCGUUGGCAACGAAAGUGGGGCUGAGCAUCGCCAGGACCAAGAGAAUGUGGAGAGCCCUUGUUGUGCUCCACAUGUUCGACGAAAUUACUGACAGAGACAAGCAAAAGCAAAUUUAUACUGACAGAGACGAUAAAGAGCAAAUUUUUUUAUUUGUUUGAAGGGAGUUUGUGAUGCGGAGUCUAUGGCCGAGCGGUUGCUCAAAAU